UACGUAGGGACCAAGCGUUGUUCGGAUUUACUGGGCGUAAAGGGCGCGUAGGCGGUCGUGACAAGUCACUUGUGAAAUCUCCGGGCUUAACUCGGAACGGUCAAGUGAUACUGUCGGACUAGAGUACAGAAGGGGGCAACUGGAAUUCUCGGUGUAGCGGUGAAAUGCGUAGAUAUCGAGAGGGAACACCUGCGGCGAAGGCGGGUUGCUGGGCUGGUCCUGACACUCAGGAGCGAAAGCGUGGGGGAGCGAUCCGG
This 257-nucleotide ribosomal RNA is filed under the name uncultured bacterium. RNAcentral's name for it is "partial 16S ribosomal RNA". It matches the Rfam family "Bacterial small subunit ribosomal RNA", at positions 524 to 776 of the family's 1533-position model. The record is from RNAcentral.